This 133-nucleotide non-coding RNA is filed under the name Ornithinimicrobium sp. CNJ-824. RNAcentral's name for it is "Bacterial small subunit ribosomal RNA". It matches the Rfam family "Bacterial small subunit ribosomal RNA", at positions 1 to 132 of the family's 1533-position model. The record is from Rfam by way of RNAcentral. Lineage: Bacteria; Bacillati; Actinomycetota; Actinomycetes; Micrococcales; Ornithinimicrobiaceae.
UUAUCGGAGAGUUUGAUCCUGGCUCAGGACGAACGCUGGCGGCGUGCUUAACACAUGCAAGUCGAACGAUGAAGCCCAGCUUGCUGGGUGGAUUAGUGGCGAACGGGUGAGUAACACGUGAGUAACCUGCCCU